RNAcentral lists this long non-coding RNA (1565 nucleotides) under Malus domestica (apple). RNAcentral's name for it is "long non-coding RNA (MDOM_LNC002954)". Lineage: Eukaryota; Viridiplantae; Streptophyta; Magnoliopsida; Rosales; Rosaceae. The record is from RNAcentral.
UUAACUGCUUGAUUGAUAACUUAUUCGUGUAUUUUUAUUAAGAGUGCACACUUAGUUUGCAUGCAUGAAUAUGAUGCUAGAGUAUAAGGGAGUUUCACCUAAUAGUUACAAAUUUAUAUUCACAAGUAGUGGAGGUUGCUUAUAGAAGAUCGCGUUAAAUGAAUUCUUGGCAAGAGUUUCGUGCUCAUCAUAGUAACGAAUGCCUCGUCAAUACUUAUAGUUUUCAUAAUGCUUAAUGAUCUUUGAUUGUAUCUUUAUUGUGCUGUUCACGAAAAGGACUUUUGAAAAAUGCUUGAAUUGUUGUAUGCGCUUUCCCAUCCAAUUCAAUAACUUAAGGAGAACUUGAAGGUUAAUUUAAGCGGACUUAAUUAACCUAGGGUGUUGAGUUUCAUGAUUUAUCGAAAGAACAACUGAAAAUUGGUUUAUGUGCAAGUGUGUCAUGUGUGGAGAAGAACCCUCUAGCUAGCCCAUCAUCCAUAGUUUACCCAAAUUCGCCCAAAAACUGUUUUAGUUUACAAUCUGUUUGUUUUGUUUUCAAUUUCAUCAAAAUCAAAUCCCCCUUUACACUAGUGUGAAAAUAUAAACAUUAUAUCCAAUCAUAUAUGUAUACGGUAUUAGAGACAUUUCACUGAUGUUAAUUUCUGUAUUUCAACUACGCAUGUUUUGUAUUCUUCCUUUUUUUUUUUUUGGACAACGUUUGUAUUCUUCACAGAACCGUCAUUUUUCCUAAAAUAUUUUCUCUUGACGUGACAGAGCUUGUGUUUCAUUCCUUUUGUUAAUUUUUCAUUUGUGACGAUAUGUGGGAUGAACGCAGAAGAUGAGCUUUGCUUUUUAUUACAUGUAAAAAGGGGAUGUUGUUUAGGGUGGCCAUAUUACAUAGAUAUUUCCUAAGAAGGACAAGAAGUCAAAACCUAGAAAAGUUGGAUAUGUAGGUCGAACAUGUAUGAUAAGAGUAUUAAUGUAUAAAAAAGUGAUAGAUGCUCUCACAGAUCCUGAUCAGCCACUCCACCAUUUGGCUUGGAAACAAAAUUAAUAAGCAGUGCUUUUCUAUUAAGCCAUCAGCAGAAAAUUAAGGUCAUAGUGGAAACCAACUCAAAUCCCACCUUUGCCUAUUUUCCCUGCUUUCUCUGUUCAUCGCCACUUCCUCAUGUCCAUUUUGUGUGGUUAGCGUGGACUAUGAAACUCCGAGCCUUAUAAUAAUGAAAAGGUAAACGACUUGGAAGUUGGUAAUUUGCAUGGGGCCACCUCCACUUUAUAUAGGCGCACCUGCAUCCAGUAGCAAACUUGCUACUCUCAAUUGAGUGGAAUAAGAAGUGCUUAAUUUGGUGAGGCUGCACAUACGUGAGCGAAUUAUAACUGUCAAUUGAGUGUAAUAAGAAGUGCUUGAUUUGGUGAGGUCGCGGAUACCCGAGUGAAUUAUAACUGUUGAUGCAAUUGAAAGUAACAAGUUAUUACUUAUCAAUAGUCAAACUGAACCUGUAUGCACAGGGAAACUGAUGCUAAUAAAAACUGUACUCAAUCAUAAAGUUGGAGCUUAUGAGAAAUAUGUUGUUAUGUAUUCUUCU